GGCCAAGUGCAAAGGCUUUCGGAGAAGGCUAUGUCUACAUUUCGCUUUUUGCCCGACUUUGUGAGCAGGAAGCGCGGCUACACGAAUUGCCACUUAAAAAUUCAAAAGUUUUGCGGCUGCCGCAUAUGGCAGCCAGUUGACUGCCAGUUGGUCGACUUUGGAUCCGACUUUGGAUCAGCUGGCAUAAGCGAGUGAAGCGGAUGCGGAUUCCACCCAGAACGCUGGCGAAACAAUAACAAAAUUCAGCCCAAUCCGCGGCUCUCUGUUAACCUUAACCCCGUUCUGGGUUUUGGUUCGGGGUUUGGGAUUCACCAGCCGGCAGGCAGCAAAUCUAAUUUCAAUUGCUGUGGCAUUUGCAUGGGAAAUUCCGUAAACUGGCACGCACUUAAAGCGUGAUGGAAAUAUUCGCGGUGGAACGAAUUUCAGGUGAUGUGCAAGCAUAGAACUUGAAUAGGCUCAAAAUAAAGCAGUUCUGGGAAAUACUUCACGAAAGCUGUGUAAAUUUGAUAAUGCCCCUAAUUUGACAAUCGUGAUAGCUAAAAGUUAAAUAAGUUGGUUUGGAAAACUCACUCAACUUAGUAAGCCUGCAAUUUCAGCUUAUGUGAACUACAACUCUUUUUUGUACCAGUUCAAAUGGGGACCCAAAACACAAACCUAAGAAGACGGAAAACAUAAACCGGCAGCAAAUUUUCCAAGCCGCAUAUACACCAGAGAUGGAAAACUCGCAGUGAUAGUCUCAAAAGCAUAUAAUACGCCAAGGAAGGCGA
Long non-coding RNA from Drosophila yakuba, 767 nucleotides. RefSeq lists it as uncharacterized. Lineage: Eukaryota; Metazoa; Arthropoda; Insecta; Diptera; Drosophilidae. The record is from RefSeq and is a predicted model, not a curated record. The transcript has 2 exons.